GCCUAACACGUGCAAGUCGAACGGUAACAGGAAGAGGCUUGCUUCUUUGCUGACGAGUGGCGGACGGGUGAGUAAUGUCUGGGAAACUGCCUGAUGGAGGGGGAUAACUACUGGAAACGGUAGCUAAUACCGCAUAACGUCGCAAGACCAAAGAGGGGGACCUUCGGGCCUCUUGCCAUCGGAUGUGCCCAGAUGGGAUUAGCUUGUUGGUGGGUAACGGCUCACCAAGGCGACGAUCCCUAGCUGGUCUGAGAGGAUGACCAGCCACACUGGAACUGAGACACGGUCCAGACUCCUACGGGAGGCAGCAGUGGGGAAUAUUGCACAAUGGGCGCAAGCCUGAUGCAGCCAUGCCGCGUGUAUGAAGAAGGCCUUCGGGUUGUAAAGUACUUUCAGCGGGGAGGAAGGGAGUAAAGUUAAUACCUUUGCUCAUUGACGUUACCCGCAGAAGAAGCACCGGCUAACUCCGUGCCACCAGCCGCGGUAAUACGGACGGUGCAAGCGCUAAUCGGAAUUACUGGGCGUAAGGCGCACGCAGGCGGUUUGAUAAAUCAGAUGUGAAAUCCCCGGGCUCAACCUGGGAACUGCAUCUGAUACUGGCAAGCUUGAGUCUCGUAGAGGGGGGUAGAAUUCCAGGUGUAGCGGUGAAAUGCGUAGAGAUCUGGAGGAAUACCGGUGGCGAAGGCGGCCCCCUGGACGAAGACUGACGCUCAGGUGCGAAAGCGUGGGGAGCAAACAGGAUUAGAUACCCUGGUAGUCCACGCCGUAAACGAUGUCGACUUGGAGGUUGUGCCCUUGAGGCGUGGCUUCCGGAGCUAACGCGUUAAGUCGACCGCCUGGGGAGUACGGCCGCAAGGUUAAAACUCAAAUGAAUUGACGGGGGCCCGCACAAGCGGUGGAGCAUGUGGUUUAAUUCGAUGCAACGCGAAGAACCUUACCUGGUCUUGACAUCCACGGAAGUUUUCAGAGAUGAGAAUGUGCCUUCGGGAACCGUGAGACAGGUGCUGCAUGGCUGUCGUCAGCUCGUGUUGUGAAAUGUUGGGUUAAGUCCCGCAACGAGCGCAACCCUUAUCCUUUGUUGCCAGCGGUCCGGCCGGGAACUCAAAGGAGACUGCCAGUGAUAAACUGGAGGAAGGUGGGGAUGACGUCAAGUCAUCAUGGCCCUUACGACCAGGGCUACACACGUGCUACAAUGGCGCAUACAAAGAGAAGCGACCUCGCGAGAGCAAGCGGACCUCAUAAAGUGCGUCGUAGUCCGGAUUGGAGUCUGCAACUCGACUCCAUGAAGUCGGAAUCGCUAGUAAUCGUGGAUCAGAAUGCCACGGUGAAUACGUUCCCGGGCCUUGUACACACCGCCCGUCACACCAUGGGAGUGGGUUGCAAAAGAAGUAGGUAGCUUAACCUUCGGGAGGGCGCUUACCACUUUGUGAUUCAUGACUGGGGUGAA
RNAcentral lists this ribosomal RNA (1447 nucleotides) under uncultured organism. RNAcentral's name for it is "16S ribosomal RNA". It matches the Rfam family "Bacterial small subunit ribosomal RNA". The record is from RNAcentral.